AGCGUACACGGUGGAUGCCCUGGCAGUCAGAGGCGAUGAAGGACGUGCUAAUCUGCGAUAAGCGUCGGUAAGGUGAUAUGAACCGUUAUAACCGGCGAUUUCCGAAUGGGGAAACCCAGUGUGUUUCGACACACUAUCAUUAACUGAAUCCAUAGGUUAAUGAGGCGAACCGGGGGAACUGAAACAUCUAAGUACCCCGAGGAAAAGAAAUCAACCGAGAUUCCCCCAGUAGCGGCGAGCGAACGGGGAGGAGCCCAGAGCCUGAAUCAGUGUGUGUGUUAGUGGAAGCGUCUGGAAAGGCGCGCGAUACAGGGUGACAGCCCCGUACACAAAAAUGCACAUGCUGUGAGCUCGAUGAGUAGGGCGGGACACGUGGUAUCCUGUCUGAAUAUGGGGGGACCAUCCUCCAAGGCUAAAUACUCCUGACUGACCGAUAGUGAACCAGUACCGUGAGGGAAAGGCGAAAAGAACCCCGGCGAGGGGAGUGAAAAAGAACCUGAAACCGUGUACGUACAAGCAGUGGGAGCACGCUUAGGCGUGUGACUGCGUACCUUUUGUAUAAUGGGUCAGCGACUUAUAUUCUGUAGCAAGGUUAACCGAAUAGGGGAGCCGAAGGGAAACCGAGUCUUAACUGGGCGUUAAGUUGCAGGGUAUAGACCCGAAACCCGGUGAUCUAGCCAUGGGCAGGUUGAAGGUUGGGUAACACUAACUGGAGGACCGAACCGACUAAUGUUGAAAAAUUAGCGGAUGACUUGUGGCUGGGGGUGAAAGGCCAAUCAAACCGGGAGAUAGCUGGUUCUCCCCGAAAGCUAUUUAGGUAGCGCCUCGUGAAUUCAUCUCCGGGGGUAGAGCACUGUUUCGGCAAGGGGGUCAUCCCGACUUACCAACCCGAUGCAAACUGCGAAUACCGGAGAAUGUUAUCACGGGAGACACACGGCGGGUGCUAACGUCCGUCGUGAAGAGGGAAACAACCCAGACCGCCAGCUAAGGUCCCAAAGUCAUGGUUAAGUGGGAAACGAUGUGGGAAGGCCCAGACAGCCAGGAUGUUGGCUUAGAAGCAGCCAUCAUUUAAAGAAAGCGUAAUAGCUCACUGGUCGAGUCGGCCUGCGCGGAAGAUGUAACGGGGCUAAACCAUGCACCGAAGCUGCGGCAGCGACGCUGAUGCGUUGUUGGGUAGGGGAGCGUUCUGUAAGCCUGUGAAGGUGUGCUGUGAGGCAUGCUGGAGGUAUCAGAAGUGCGAAUGCUGACAUAAGUAACGAUAAAGCGGGUGAAAAGCCCGCUCGCCGGAAGACCAAGGGUUCCUGUCCAACGUUAAUCGGGGCAGGGUGAGUCGACCCCUAAGGCGAGGCCGAAAGGCGUAGUCGAUGGGAAACAGGUUAAUAUUCCUGUACUUGGUGUUACUGCGAAGGGGGGACGGAGAAGGCUAUGUUGGCCGGGCGACGGUUGUCCCGGUUUAAGCGUGUAGGCUGGUUUUCCAGGCAAAUCCGGAAAAUCAAGGCUGAGGCGUGAUGACGAGGCACUACGGUGCUGAAGCAACAAAUGCCCUGCUUCCAGGAAAAGCCUCUAAGCAUCAGGUAACAUCAAAUCGUACCCCAAACCGACACAGGUGGUCAGGUAGAGAAUACCAAGGCGCUUGAGAGAACUCGGGUGAAGGAACUAGGCAAAAUGGUGCCGUAACUUCGGGAGAAGGCACGCUGAUAUGUAGGUGAAGUCCCUCGCGGAUGGAGCUGAAAUCAGUCGAAGAUACCAGCUGGCUGCAACUGUUUAUUAAAAACACAGCACUGUGCAAACACGAAAGUGGACGUAUACGGUGUGACGCCUGCCCGGUGCCGGAAGGUUAAUUGAUGGGGUCAGCGCAAGCGAAGCUCUUGAUCGAAGCCCCGGUAAACGGCGGCCGUAACUAUAACGGUCCUAAGGUAGCGAAAUUCCUUGUCGGGUAAGUUCCGACCUGCACGAAUGGCGUAAUGAUGGCCAGGCUGUCUCCACCCGAGACUCAGUGAAAUUGAACUCGCUGUGAAGAUGCAGUGUACCCGCGGCAAGACGGAAAGACCCCGUGAACCUUUACUAUAGCUUGACACUGAACAUUGAGCCUUGAUGUGUAGGAUAGGUGGGAGGCUUUGAAGUGUGGACGCCAGUCUGCAUGGAGCCGACCUUGAAAUACCACCCUUUAAUGUUUGAUGUUCUAACGUUGACCCGUAAUCCGGGUUGCGGACAGUGUCUGGUGGGUAGUUUGACUGGGGCGGUCUCCUCCUAAAGAGUAACGGAGGAGCACGAAGGUUGGCUAAUCCUGGUCGGACAUCAGGAGGUUAGUGCAAUGGCAUAAGCCAGCUUGACUGCGAGCGUGACGGCGCGAGCAGGUGCGAAAGCAGGUCAUAGUGAUCCGGUGGUUCUGAAUGGAAGGGCCAUCGCUCAACGGAUAAAAGGUACUCCGGGGAUAACAGGCUGAUACCGCCCAAGAGUUCAUAUCGACGGCGGUGUUUGGCACCUCGAUGUCGGCUCAUCACAUCCUGGGGCUGAAGUAGGUCCCAAGGGUAUGGCUGUUCGCCAUUUAAAGUGGUACGCGAGCUGGGUUUAGAACGUCGUGAGACAGUUCGGUCCCUAUCUGCCGUGGGCGCUGGAGAACUGAGGGGGGCUGCUCCUAGUACGAGAGGACCGGAGUGGACGCAUCACUGGUGUUCGGGUUGUCAUGCCAAUGGCACUGCCCGGUAGCUAAAUGCGGAAGAGAUAAGUGCUGAAAGCAUCUAAGCACGAAACUUGCCCCGAGAUGAGUUCUCCCUGACUCCUUGA
This 2787-nucleotide ribosomal RNA is filed under the name Escherichia coli. RNAcentral describes it as "bacterial LSU rRNA". It matches the Rfam family "Bacterial large subunit ribosomal RNA". The record is from RNAcentral. Lineage: Bacteria; Pseudomonadati; Pseudomonadota; Gammaproteobacteria; Enterobacterales; Enterobacteriaceae.